AGAACGAACGCUGGCGGCAUGCCUAAUACAUGCAAGUCGAACGAACUCUUCGGAGUUAGUGGCGCACGGGUGCGUAACGCGUGGGAAUCUGCCCCUUGGUUCGGAAUAACAGUUGGAAACGACUGCUAAUACCGGAUGAUGACGAAAGUCCAAAGAUUUAUCGCCAAGGGAUGAGCCCGCGUAGGAUUAGCUAGUUGGUGAGGUAAAGGCUCACCAAGGCAACGAUCCUUAGCUGGUCUGAGAGGAUGAUCAGCCACACUGGGACUGAGACACGGCCCAGACUCCUACGGGAGGCAGCAGUAGGGAAUAUUGGACAAUGGGCGAAAGCCUGAUCCAGCAAUGCCGCGUGAGUGAUGAAGGCCUUAGGUUGUAAAGCUCUUUUACCCGAGAUGAUAAUGACAGUAUCGGAGAAUAAGCCCCGGCUAACCUCCGCGCCAGCAGCCGC
RNAcentral lists this ribosomal RNA (445 nucleotides) under uncultured soil bacterium. Its description in RNAcentral is "bacterial SSU rRNA". It matches the Rfam family "Bacterial small subunit ribosomal RNA", at positions 26 to 518 of the family's 1533-position model. The record is from RNAcentral.